UAAUAAAACUGACUGAUGCUGUAAUUUUGCCUCUGAAGUGAUGGAGCCGAUGUCAAAAUGCGUAGAAUAAAUUACCACUAUCAGAGAAUAUAAAUUUUAAAUGUUAUACCUGAUCUGAUAGUUAACACAAUCAUUGAUUUUUGUAAACCUUCUCUUGCGCGAUGGCUUUUUCAGCAUUUUAAUUUAUGGAUGGGGUUUGGAUUAAGGUUUCAGUUUAUGUUUCUAAUACAUAAAACUAGCUAAGAGUAGAUCUCUCAUUACAAUGAAUGAUUCUGAAAGUAAGCAAUAUAAUAGUAACAAUGGUUAUGGCUGGUUUUCAUGCUCACACCGUGUAAACAGAUUGGAGUGUUCAGGCAACUGUUAGCUGGCUACUUUCUCAGUCAUUUGGGAGUGAAAAUGUGUCAAUUGUCGCUGAAGAAGAUGUUGUCAGUCUCUCCAAGGCUGAUGCAGCUGGCCUGUUGAAGGCUGUGGUGAAUACCGUGAAUGACUGUCUAGCAGAAGCACCUCGGUUUGGGCUCCAGGGUCCAGCAAUGGCCCUUGGGGCCUCAGAGGUUAUUGAAGCCAUCAGUCGUUGCAACUCAAGUGGGGGCCCUACUGGAAGAUUUUGGGCACUUGACCCUGUUGAUGGCACGUUAGGGUUUGUACGCGGGGAUCAAUAUGCCGUGGCAUUAGCAUUGAUAGAAAAUGGAGAAGCAGUGCUCGGAGUUCUUGGGUGCCCCAAUUAUCCAAUGAGAAAGGAAUGGUUAAGUUAUCAACAUCGCUACCACAGAAUUAUAUCCAAAUUAACCCCACCUACAUCUGAAUCUUGGGACAAGGGGUGUGUGAUGUAUGCCUGGAAAGGCAGCGGUGAGGCUUGGAUGCAGCCUCUAAUCCAGGGAGAUAAGAAGCUGGUUUGGCCAAACUCUGCAAGGCCAGUUCAAGUGUCAUCCAUUGAGAAUCCAGCAUUGGCAACAUUUUGUGAACCUGUUGAGAAGUCAAAUUCAAGCCACUCCUUCACAGCAGGACUAGCUCACAGCGUUGGCCUUAGGUGCAUAAAUAUGUGUGUGUGUGUGUAUGUGUGUGUGUUUGUGUGUGUGACUAAAAGUGAAAUUGAAGUGUAAUUUUCAGUGGUGACAAGAAGCUUUACUUGAAUUUUUUUGACUACAGAAAGCAACCAUUACGUGUAUACAGCAUGGUGAAGUACGCAACCAUAGCACGUGGGGAUGCAGAAGUAUUUAUGAAGUUUGCAAGGGCUGGAUACAAGGAGAAGAUAUGGGAUCAUGCCGCUGGUGUUGUUAUCAUAGAAGAAGCUGGAGGUGUGGUCAGCGAUGCUGGUGGGCGGCGGCUGGACUUUUCGAAGGGUAUAUACUUAGAAGGGCUUGAUAGGGGUAUAAUUGCUUGUGCUGGAGCCAGGUUACAUGAAAAAAUCAUCAGGGCUGUUGAUGCCAGUUGGAGUUCCUCUAGUCUAUAAUUAUAAGUUUCUUCUUUAUAGCAUCAAUAAGAAGAAAGCAGUAUGCAAUGUGCAUUACCAGAUGGUGUGAAAAAAAAUUAGUAAUGAAUUAUUUUUCUAAUUUUCGUUUGUUUGUCCGUGGCAUUCCUCUUUGUAUAUUCUUUAAUGAAGUCAGUCCGCUUAGGCUCAGAGAUGAGUUUGUUCUAUAUUGUAUUGUAUUAAAAACAAAACUCUUCUGUAAAUUGAUAUUUGUUUCAUUAUAUUUUCUGAGACACUAGUAAUUCCAAUUUGCUGACGCUGCCUUGAAUCUCCAAUAAAUAAAUAAAGUCUAACUUGUAGAGUUCAUCACAGCUCCACAUUUUGCCAACACAGAACGGCUUCGCAAGCGGGUGUGUGUUUUUUUGGGGAACAAAUUGAAAUUUAUUGGGUCCUGAAAUCCACUUUUGGCCCAUUGUAUCAUGUUGCAAUUUGAAGCCCAGACUCGUCAAAAUGUUGUUGGGUUUGAUUGGGCUGGCUGAUAUGCCAAUUACACCCAUAACCUCUCCCUUUCUGUAGAUUCCAUACAUAAUAAAUCAUAUGACAAAGAUUUCAAAGAUUGUGAUAUUUAUUUAUUAUACAUACGGAUUUGCGCAGCUAUCUACAGCGUCUUGGCAGAACUGAACACCCUCCACAGGCCACCGCCACAUGGGAAAUAAUAAUGGGAACUGACCUGCCACCCACCCACCAUAACAAAAGCGCGUUGAAUUACUUGAACGCUCUUAAAUUGAGUUGUAUGAAUUCUUGGCCUAUUAAUUAAUUAAAGCCAAACGACAAUUUUCAAAUGUUAAAAUUUGUGUAAUCAAUUAAAGAUGAGAUGCUUUCCUUUAAUUCAAAGUAGUGAUGUCGUGAUGAAUAAAGCCGUCAACGAUGAUUUUGUUGAGAUGACCGCACAGAUAAUGAAGUUUAAGCAUGUGUACUUAUCUGUGGAUUCAAACGUCGAGUUAGGGUUUAGUUACGGUACAAUAAUAGUAUCAUAUUAUUUUUUUUGUCUUUUGUGACAGCACUAUUAUACAUUUUUAUAUAACUCAUUUUACUCAUUUUUAUUUAAACUUUGAUUCACAAAUAUUAAGUUAAUUUCUACUGUAUUUAUAUAAAUAUUUUAGUUAGCACCUUAUACUAUCUAUUAUUUACAUAUUUUUAUUCUAUAUUGCACAUGUAUCACAAUACCCCCUCUCUUUACUAUUUUGAGAUAAAAUAAUAAAAAUGUUUAAUUUAUAACUUUACACUUUUUUUAAUAUUAGGAUUUUUUUAAAUCCAUUAUCAAAUUUCAUUUAACACUACACUCUUUCUAUUAUAACUUUUUUAAUAAAUAUUAUAAUACUUUUUUAUUUACAUGCAUAAUAAAUUAUGUAAUCUCAAUAGUCUUAUUACAAAAAGUAUUAUAAUUUUUCGUACUCUUAUUUUUAUCAUGUUAUUUAAUUCAAGUGUUCUUAUCUUAUGGGUGCAUUUGGUUCAUCAUUAUUUGUUGUAUUAGGUUAUAUUGCAUUAUUAUUAUUUUUGUCACAUUAGGGCAUAUUAAACUAUAAUUUAGUAAAAAAAAAUUAUCCUUCUUAUAUAGUAAUAAAAUUUUUAAUAAUAUAAUAUCAGUCCAUGCUACAUAAAUUUACUUUAGCACUCAUUUAAAGAUGAUGAACUAUUGUUUACAACAAUAAAUUAAAGGAGAAAAAUUUUUACAACAGUAAAUAAAAUGACUGCUAAAUUAUAAUAUUUUUUGUAAUAUGACUAUUGAGAUUACAUAAUUUAUUGUGCAUGUUAGUAAAAUGUACUAUAAUAUUUAUUAAAAAUAUUUAUAAUAGAAAGAGUAUAGAGUGUUAAAUGAAAUUUGAUAAUGGAUUUAAAAAAAUAUAAUAUUAAAAAAAGAGUGUAAGGUUCUAAAUUAAAUAUUUUAAUUAUUUAAUCUCAAAAUAGCAAAGAGAGGGGGUAUUGUGAUACUAGUGCAAUAUAAAAAAUAAUUUGUAAAUAGUAGAUAGUAUAACAUGCUAAUUAAAAUAUUUAUAUGGAUGCAGUAGAAAUUAACUUAAUAUUUAUGAAAUAAAGGUUAAAUAAAAAUGAAUGAAAGGGGUUAUAUGAAAAAUUUACAGGAGUGCUGCCACAAAAGAAAAAAGAAGUGGUAUAGUACCACUGUUAUACCGUAGCUGAGUCCGUCAAAUUAAAAUAAAAUAAAAUAAAAUAAAAUGGUCGGGCCUGCGCUUUAAAUUCAGUAGCUUCUCUUGUCAACUACUUGCACGUCGGUGGGGUCAGUCUUGCCGCACUCUACUGAUUCUGGGGACCGGAGUUUGAAGUUUUAUUUAUUCUUUUGUCAAAUGUUUAAAAUGAAGAUUAUCCCUUUCGUUUUUGUUAAAGGGAAAUUGCACGACACCUGUUUCGAGAUGGAAAAUUUUUUUUUCCCACGAGACCCCCAUCGUAAUAGGAAAUUGAAAAUAUCAUGGGGGGGACCUAUCCAGCACAGUAGCAAUAGCACGCAUGUAUAUAUAUAUUUAUGUGACAACAUCGUUUUGAUAUGGUGCACCUGCACGUGUACGCUGUCCGCGCUAAUUAAUUGCCAACACAUGAUGUUAAUGUGCAGUGCAUCGUCAAGUAACAUUAUUCAUCUCUAAUGAAUUUGCAGAUGGGAGGUUAGCCUCAUUGAUGUCAUCAUGUUGGCAUAUAUACAUUUAUAUCCUCUCCCAUUUCACGAAUCCUCUUUAUUUCUCUUGGUACUUAAUGGUGGUACCCUCCCUUAAUCUCUUCACUGUUUAUCAAUAGUUUUUUUUUUUUUUUUAUCUAAACUACGAGGUGGUUAUGAGUGGAUCUUAAUUGUGGGAGACACUUUUAAGUUCGUAUCACAAUUCAGACUAAUUCUCGCUCGCACCAGGUCGGUUCGUAAAGGAUAAAAUACUAACUAAAGUAGUGACUCCAUACAAGAGCGGGACUCAAACUCCUGAUUUUUCUUAAGAAGUGAGAGUGUCGAACCACUCACACCAACCAACUUUGAUUAUUAGUAGUUAAUUAGAAGCACAUUAAGCACUUGUGAUGUGGCACCAAAUUAAUUAUCGCAAAUUCGCAAUAGGACUUGAAUUUAUGAGAUUGUUCAAGUGAGUCUCACGGGCUUUAUAAUUUGUUUGAUGAAUCACCGGCACAGCAACUAUAUUUAAAAAAAAAAGAAAAAGAAAAAGAAAUGUAAAGUGCCAUAAUUGCACCCAACCUACUCAACAUUAAGUCAAAGUGGGCCCCUCUCUUUUUAAUACAAAGUCAUCCAACUCUCUGUUUAAUAAUCUGUAUAUAAAUAAUACAUAUUCCCCUUCUCUCAAUCUCAUUUCCUCAUCGCACUCCCAAAAAAACUACUCACAAAAAUGAACUCCUUCGCUAGCUCUGUCUUUGUCAUCUUGCUCAUCACAUCAACUUCGUCACUUUGCGUGGCUGCCCGACCCGGAGCAUCAGCUGAGCUCAACAACGACGACAAGCUCUCUGAAGGCAAAACCACCAACCAAAACACCAAGGGUGGAAACGGGUAUGACGCCGGGAUGGAUGGAUUCUUUGGACCCGGAUCAGGUAUACCCGGGUUCGGAAAUGGGAUAGUAGGUGGCGGGUAUGGAGCCGGGUACGGAGGUCCGAAUGGAGGGUACUCAAGAGGUGGUGUAAUUAGGCCUAGUGUGGUGUGUAAGGAGAGAGGUCCUUGUUACAUGAAGAAACUGACGUGUCCGAAAAAGUGCUUCACCUCUUACAGCCGUUCAGGGAAGGGCUACGGCGGUGGUGGCGGAGGCGGUGGAUGCACCAUGGAUUGUAAGAAGAAAUGUGUCGCUUACUGUUAGAGAAUGAGCUGAGCCCUGGUCUUAGUUUCUAAUAUUUCUUACGUAAUGUAAUCUACUGUUAUAUUCAUAUAUAAGUCAUGUAUGUGCUGCAAGGUUUAUUAUGGGUUGCCU
This 5370-nucleotide long non-coding RNA is filed under the name Citrus maxima (pomelo). RNAcentral describes it as "long non-coding RNA (CMAX_LNC001082)". The record is from RNAcentral. Lineage: Eukaryota; Viridiplantae; Streptophyta; Magnoliopsida; Sapindales; Rutaceae.